This 23-nucleotide non-coding RNA is filed under the name Gallus gallus (chicken). Lineage: Eukaryota; Metazoa; Chordata; Aves; Galliformes; Phasianidae. RNAcentral also lists the same sequence under 1 other name. The record is from RNAcentral.
GGACACGGACAGGAUUGACAGAU